UGACCAGGUGGCCUCAGGGAAGGUAUCCCAGA
RNAcentral lists this non-coding RNA (32 nucleotides) under Homo sapiens (human). The record is from RNAcentral. Lineage: Eukaryota; Metazoa; Chordata; Mammalia; Primates; Hominidae.